GUCCACACAGUAACGAUGAAUACUCGCUGUUGCGAUAUACAGUAAGCGGCCAAGCGAAGCAUUAAGUAUUCCACCUGGGAGUACGCCGGCAACGGUGAAACUCAAAGGAAUUGACGGGGCCCGCACAAGCGGAGGAACAUGUGGUUAAUUCGAUGAUACGCGAGGAACCUUACCCGGGCUUGAAUUGCAGAGGAACAUAGUUGAAAGAUUAUGGCCGCAAAGGUCUCUGUGAAAGGUGCUGCAUGGUUGUCGU
This 253-nucleotide ribosomal RNA is filed under the name uncultured bacterium. RNAcentral describes it as "partial 16S ribosomal RNA". It matches the Rfam family "Bacterial small subunit ribosomal RNA", at positions 793 to 1055 of the family's 1533-position model. The record is from RNAcentral.